RNAcentral lists this transfer RNA (86 nucleotides) under Candidatus Omnitrophota bacterium. Its description in RNAcentral is "tRNA-Leu". It matches the Rfam family "tRNA". Rfam says of the family: Transfer RNA (tRNA) molecules are approximately 80 nucleotides in length. Their secondary structure includes four short double-helical elements and three loops (D, anti-codon, and T loops). The record is from RNAcentral. RNAcentral also lists the same sequence under 1 other name. Lineage: Bacteria; Pseudomonadati; Candidatus Omnitrophota.
GGGCGGGUGGCGGAAUAGGCAGACGCCUGGGACUUAAAAUCCCAUGUCCCGUAAGGGACGUGAGGGUUCGAAUCCCUCCCCGCCCA